Molecule: unclassified non-coding RNA, 211 nt
Filed under: Hevea brasiliensis (rubber tree)
Lineage: Eukaryota; Viridiplantae; Streptophyta; Magnoliopsida; Malpighiales; Euphorbiaceae
Source: RNAcentral
GUUAAAAUGUAUAAUUUAUUACUUGAUAUUAUUCUUCUUUACUCUAUUAAUUAAUAGUAUGCAAAAGUUAACGUAUAUGCUACAGUAUUUGAUUUAAUAUAUUAAAAAAUAAGUUCUUUAGUCAUUUAUAAAUUAUAAAAACGAAUACAAGGAUAACUGCCCCUGGUCUGAUGCUUAAUUGGAAGGAAAUGGGAAUGCCAAAACCUCCUCU